RNAcentral lists this ribosomal RNA (484 nucleotides) under uncultured bacterium. RNAcentral's name for it is "partial 16S ribosomal RNA". It matches the Rfam family "Bacterial small subunit ribosomal RNA", at positions 30 to 507 of the family's 1533-position model. The record is from RNAcentral.
AUUGAACGCUGGCGGCAGGCCUAACACAUGCAAGUCGAGCGGAAGCAGGGAGCUUGCUCCUGGAUUCAGCGGCGGACGGGUGAGUAAUGCCUAGGAAUCUGCCUGGUAGUGGGGGAUAACGUCGGGAAACGGGCGCUAAUACCGCAUACGUCCUGAGGGAGAAAGUGGGGGAUCUUCGGACCUCACGCUAUCAGAUGAGCCUAGGUCGGAUUAGCUAGUUGGUGGGGUAAAGGCCUACCAAGGCGACGAUCCGUAGCUGGUCUGAGAGGAUGAUCAGCCACACUGGAACUGAGACACGGUCCAGACUCCUACGGGAGGCAGCAGUGGGGAAUAUUGGACAAUGGGCGAAAGCCUGAUCCAGCCAUGCCGCGUGUGUGAAGAAGGUCUUCGGAUUGUAAAGCACUUUUGGUUGGGAGGAAGGGCAGUAAGUUAAUACCUUGCUGUUUUGACGUUACCAACAGAAUAAGCACCGGCUAACUUCGUG